RNAcentral lists this unclassified non-coding RNA (229 nucleotides) under plant metagenome. RNAcentral describes it as "partial contains small subunit ribosomal RNA, internal transcribed spacer 1, and 5.8S ribosomal RNA". The record is from RNAcentral.
UCUCCGUAGGUGAACCUGCGGAGGGAUCAUUACAGAGUUCAUGCCCUACCGGGUAGAUCUCCCACCCUAUGUUAUUAUUACUUUGUUGCCUUGGCGGGCCGUUAGGCUCCGGCCCGACUACCGGCCCCGGCUGGUAAGCGCCCGCCAGAGGGCCCAAAACCCUGAAUAUUAGUGUCGUCUGAGUACUAUAUAAUAGUUAAAACUUUCAACAACGGAUCUCUUGGUUCUA